This 264-nucleotide long non-coding RNA is filed under the name Crocodylus porosus (Australian saltwater crocodile). Its description in RNAcentral is "lncRNA (ENSCPRG00005000686.1)". The record is from RNAcentral. Lineage: Eukaryota; Metazoa; Chordata; Crocodylia; Crocodylidae.
CCUUAGUUAUUCACCCCUAGUUAUGCUAUUGAUGCCACCAGGGAGAGGUUGUAGUGAAAACUUCCGGUGACAAAAGUCAAGAAAUGGAGAAGAUAUAGGAGACAACAACAUUGGAGAGAGUUUCAUACUAUUGUUGAAGAAACUUUGGCAACCUCCAGAUCAACCAAAGGGCAGAUCCAGAGUGUGUCCCUUCACCCAAGGAAAUGUGAUGUUACUAGCAUGAACUGUAAAUAAAGCAUCAACUGCUUCCUGACCAGAAUGUGG